This 591-nucleotide ribosomal RNA is filed under the name Alteromonas sp. Its description in RNAcentral is "bacterial SSU rRNA". It matches the Rfam family "Bacterial small subunit ribosomal RNA", at positions 77 to 670 of the family's 1533-position model. Lineage: Bacteria; Pseudomonadati; Pseudomonadota; Gammaproteobacteria; Alteromonadales; Alteromonadaceae. The record is from RNAcentral.
CUUGCUAGAUGAUGUCGAGUGGCGGACGGGUGAGUAAUGCUUGGGAACUUGCCUUUGCGAGGGGGAUAACAGUUGGAAACGACUGCUAAUACCGCAUAAUGUCUUCGGACCAAACGGGGCUUCGGCUCCGGCGCAAAGAGAGGCCCAAGUGAGAUUAGCUAGUUGGUGAGGUAAAGGCUCACCAAGGCAACGAUCUCUAGCUGUUCUGAGAGGAAGAUCAGCCACACUGGGACUGAGACACGGCCCAGACUCCUACGGGAGGCAGCAGUGGGGAAUAUUGCACAAUGGGGGAAACCCUGAUGCAGCCAUGCCGCGUGUGUGAAGAAGGCCUUCGGGUUGUAAAGCACUUUCAGUUGUGAGGAAAAGUUAGUAGUUAAUACCUGCUAGCCGUGACGUUAACAACAGAAGAAGCACCGGCUAACUCCGUGCCAGCAGCCGCGGUAAUACGGAGGGUGCGAGCGUUAAUCGGAAUUACUGGGCGUAAAGCGCACGCAGGCGGUUUGUUAAGCUAGAUGUGAAAGCCCCGGGCUCAACCUGGGACGGUCAUUUAGAACUGGCAGACUAGAGUCUUGGAGAGGGGAGUGGAAUUCC